GGAGGAAGGUGGGGAGUGACGUCAAGUCAUCAUGGCCUUUAUGUCUAGGGCUACACACGUACUACAAUGGCAGGUACAAAGGGCAGCGACACAGCGAUGUGAUGCGAAUCCCGAAAAGCCUGUCUCAGUCCGGAUCGGAGUCUGCAACUCGACUCCGUGAAGUUGGAAUCGCUAGUAAUCGUGGAUCAGCAUGCCACGGUGAAUACGUUCCCGGGCCUU
Molecule: ribosomal RNA, 219 nt
Filed under: uncultured Desulfobulbus sp.
Lineage: Bacteria; Pseudomonadati; Thermodesulfobacteriota; Desulfobulbia; Desulfobulbales; Desulfobulbaceae
Description: partial 16S ribosomal RNA
Rfam family: Bacterial small subunit ribosomal RNA
Source: RNAcentral